Molecule: ribosomal RNA, 440 nt
Filed under: uncultured bacterium
Lineage: Bacteria
Description: partial 16S ribosomal RNA
Rfam family: Bacterial small subunit ribosomal RNA
Source: RNAcentral
CCUACGGGGGGCAGCAGUGGGGAAUAUUGCACAAUGGGGGAAACCCUGAUGCAGCGACGCCGCGUGAGUGACGAAGUAUUUCGGUAUGUAAAGCUCUGUCUGCAGGGAAGAAAAUGACGGUACCUGACCAAGAAGCCCCGGCUAACUACGUGCCAGCAGCCGUGGUAAUACGUAGGGGGCAAGCGUUAUCCGGAUUUACUGGGUGUAAAGGGGGCGUAGACGGCAGGGCAAGUCUGGAGGGAAAGGCGGGGGCUCAACCCCCGGACUGCUCUGGAAACUGCCAGGCUGGAGUGCAGGAGAGGUAAGUGGAAUGCGUAGUGUAGCGGUGAAAUGCGUAGAUAUUAGGAGGAACACCAGUGGCGAAGGCGGCUUACUGGAGUGUAACUGACGUUGAGGCUCGAAAGCGUGGGGAGUAAACAGGAUUAGAUACCCCAGUAGUC